This 895-nucleotide unclassified non-coding RNA is filed under the name Hevea brasiliensis (rubber tree). The record is from RNAcentral. Lineage: Eukaryota; Viridiplantae; Streptophyta; Magnoliopsida; Malpighiales; Euphorbiaceae.
AACUUAAACAACAAUAAAUAAAAUGCUAAUAAUAUAAAAUAUCUAACUUUAAUUUAAUUCAUAAAAAAACUUUAAAUAUUGGGAGCAUUGUGCACUUAAUAUCAAGUCCCCUAACUGAGAGUUCGCUGCACCAAAAACUCAGCCUGUGACUGGGCAAAGUUACUGAAUUGGAAUGGAGUGAACCCAGACAGCAGAAACAGACUCCUCCAAGGACGAGUCCCAUCAACAAAAAAAGAAUUUCUCUUUCUAAUUACUUUCAAUAUGCAUAUUUUACAACAAUUUUUCUCAAUAAAAUGUGUUUUGCAAUAGAAAAUAACUUUUCUUCCUCUCAUAAAUCGAUCCCCUAUUUGUCCACAGCCAUCUCAUACCUUUAUCAUUAGAUUGCUUUGUCAAUUUCAGCAAAUAUUUUGCAAGAUUCUAAAUCAUCUAAAAUAGGACAUUUCAUGGUGAAUGCUUUAGAAAAUUCUCUAAUCUGAAGGAAUGAGAGCAGAUUCCUCAUCAGCAGAAGUUUUAGAGCUGCACCUGGAAAACCCAAAACAAGAACACUCCAUGCUUCUCAAUUUUAGCAGCAGAUGAAGCAAAAUCCCACACCCAAAACCCAAUGCAGCGCUAGACCCAGUUAACGAAACAGCAGCACAAACCAACAUCACAAAAGAUUGUUCUUUUGUGUUCAUAUCUUUAGAUGCCAUAGCCAGCUCAAUCCCUGAAAACAACAAGAGCACUCCAAGAAUUCCAAUUGGGAAUUGACUCAAAAUCUUCACAAAAGAGUUUCCAAACACCAAUCCAAUCGCUAGCUUUCCUAUCCCCAGAAAAACCACUGACGCACCACUCCUGGCACCAAACCUGUACUGCCCUGCCAGCCCACCUGCUCCAUGGCACACAGGCAUGGCCCCAA